RNAcentral lists this long non-coding RNA (987 nucleotides) under Chinchilla lanigera (long-tailed chinchilla). Its description in RNAcentral is "lncRNA (ENSCLAG00000024201.1)". The record is from RNAcentral. Lineage: Eukaryota; Metazoa; Chordata; Mammalia; Rodentia; Chinchillidae.
GUUUCAGCGAUGGAGACGUUAGAGGCUCACUUAUCACUCUUAAAACGCAGGCCCACACCACCCCACCUUUCUGCAGCCAGCCAUCGGAGACAUCAGAAUUCCCUGUGGUUUUGCAAACAACAUUCUCAGCUGUUUUCAAGAGAUGAGUUAUUCUGUGGAGAAGAAAGUUUCAGUGUGGGUAAGAUUUGCGGUGAUGUAAACAGCAAAGCCGGUGGACGAGGUUACACAGCUGCACAGACUGUGUGUCUGAGAGUCCUCUAACCCGGUGCCCUGGGGCCCUAAGAGUUGCUGCAGUAGGCAGCCAGCUAUCACAGCUGUCUGUAAAAACCAAGGACACCACACGAGCUGAGUCCCUCAUGCUGCCUGCGGCUCACUGGGCUGGCAAGUCUGGUCCCAAAGGUCCACACUGUCCAGAGGCGCUCUGGAAAGUCUAGCUGACAGGGUGGAAAUGCAAGGACAUCAACACUGUCUGCGGCAGGCCACGCAGAGUUAAGAGAGAGAAGCGAGCGCAAAGAUAGGUUGGUCUCCUUUUUCCCCCCAGACGAGCUGUCCAACCUAUAGAAGUCUCAGGACCCUCUGAAGAUGUCCAGCAAGAGUACAAAGCCACGUCCAGCCCAGCCUGCGUCCCUGGGGCUGUCGCUGCUCUCUCACCUGUUACCCCUUGCUCCUGUGCUCCGGAGUGCGUUACCUCUCUGAAGCGUUAGCGGGUAAGUUCAUGUCUCAGGCUCUGUUUUUCAGCACUCAGAAUAAGAAAGUUGUACACUUUGUAUACAUUUAGCCCUCAAACAGAAAUAAUGAAAAUCUUCUGAAAAAUUACAUGAAAUUAUCUCAAACUGCUUAUCUGUUGAAUGGCAUAUUGAAUCUUACACUUCAGAGUUUCUGAAGUUAUUCUUAUAACAUGAGCAUUUUGAAAAGACAUAUGAAUCAUGGAAGCACUUUAUUAGUCUAUUGUUAUCCCUGAUGAGCCAAUAUUUACCAUAUAAUUAU